RNAcentral lists this long non-coding RNA (594 nucleotides) under Mytilus galloprovincialis (Mediterranean mussel). Lineage: Eukaryota; Metazoa; Mollusca; Bivalvia; Mytilida; Mytilidae. The record is from RNAcentral.
AAAAAAAACAACAACUUAUCAAUCAGUGAGAUUUAAAGUGAGUUGUCUUUUUAUGUUACAAAAUCAUGGUAAAUCUGGUCACAACUGAACCUUGCUAAAUUUGUAACUUAUGUAGACUGACCAACUGCUCUUUUUACCAGAAAUCUUACAUGUAAAAUUUCUCAUAAGUCAUGAAAAUAUCAGUAUAAAUUACGAAUUUAUGAUCAAUUUAAAUCGUAAGAUUUUUUGUUAAAAAGGUAUCAGAGCAUAAAAAUUGUUCAGGAAAUUAACCUUUCUAAACGAAAUACCUGUUUAAUCUGAAAAAAAUCUUAAGUGCUGAUGGGGUUCAAUUUAAAUGUGUUUUAGAUCCAUAUUAAAUUAUCUUUUACCCUAUAGAAAUAUGUGUGCCACACUAACCUCUUGCGAGUCAUUUUUGGUGAACACUGUAAUGAAUAUAUUAUGCUGUUACAAAUUAAAAAAGACAUGAUAUACAUUUAUAUUAAUUGUUAUGCCUUUUCAUCUAAAUUUGAAAGUCAAUCAUGUUGUUAGAAAAUACACAAACCUUGAAAAUUUUGAUAUAAAUUUAUGUUGUUGAUAUCAUCUGCCAGACAGGCC